GCUCCGCUCCCCCCAGGCCUCAACCCCGCUGGCUACCCGCGCUGAAACCUCACCUGCCGCCGGCUGCAAACGGACUGCGCUCCAGGUUCUGCCAAAACAAGUGAUUGCAACAUAUAAUUGGACCAGCAACUAGAUGAUGUGACUCUUCUCUUCUGCCUGAGCCCUGGAUAUACUGUGUAUUAUGACACAUGGCUGAGUCCAACAUCAAGGUGAUGUGACUGACCACUUCUGCCUGGGCCAUGCCGAAAAAAGGAGAUUGUGACAUAUCACUGCAUUCAAUACCUAGAUGAUGGUUUCGCCGUGUUGGCCGGACUGGUCUGCAGCUCCUGACCACGAGUGAUCUGCUAGCCUCGGCCUCCCGAGGUGCCGGGAUUGCAGACGGAGUCUCGCUCACUUAGUGCUCAAUGUUGCCCAGGCUGGA
This 421-nucleotide long non-coding RNA is filed under the name Homo sapiens (human). Its description in RNAcentral is "HSALNT0396657". The record is from RNAcentral. Lineage: Eukaryota; Metazoa; Chordata; Mammalia; Primates; Hominidae.